CCUUCGGUAGCUCAGUUGGUAGAGCGGUGGACUGUAGCUGGUAAAAACAACAGACAUCCAUAGGUCGCUGGUUCAAAUCCGGCCCGAAGGA
RNAcentral lists this transfer RNA (91 nucleotides) under Acyrthosiphon pisum (pea aphid). It matches the Rfam family "tRNA". Rfam says of the family: Transfer RNA (tRNA) molecules are approximately 80 nucleotides in length. Their secondary structure includes four short double-helical elements and three loops (D, anti-codon, and T loops). The record is from Rfam by way of RNAcentral. Lineage: Eukaryota; Metazoa; Arthropoda; Insecta; Hemiptera; Aphididae.